Long non-coding RNA from Gossypium raimondii (Peruvian cotton), 381 nucleotides. RefSeq lists it as uncharacterized. The record is from RefSeq and is a predicted model, not a curated record. NCBI's taxonomy places the organism in Eukaryota, Viridiplantae, Streptophyta, Magnoliopsida, Malvales, Malvaceae. The transcript has 3 exons.
UUAAGCUUGGAGAACUCAUCUAUGGCUUCCUAGGUUUCGGCAUUUCUAUUGUAGAUUAAGAUCAAGAACCAAAGAAAUCGGAGUUAGAUCGGGAAAAAGUUAAAGUCGUCGAGUGAUCGUUCGAUUUUGAUUUUUCAUUGUCCGAGAUUUUGAGGUGGUUACGAGCUCAGGAUCGUCAGUAAAGUUUAUCACACUAUCGGAUAAUUAAGGUAUUUUAAGCUGAAAUUUUUCUUUGAGACUAUGACAUGUAUAGACUAGUUUGAAAUUGUUUCUUUUGAGAGUAAAUAUGUAUUAAAGCCAUGCGUAUGUGGCUUAAUUGGCUUGUUAUAGUCGGUUUUUGGUUUGAAUGAUAAUUUAUGCACAUUUUGGUUUGGUUUGGCA